Molecule: long non-coding RNA, 706 nt
Organism: Sciurus carolinensis (gray squirrel)
Lineage: Eukaryota; Metazoa; Chordata; Mammalia; Rodentia; Sciuridae
Exons: 3
Source: RefSeq, a predicted model, not a curated record
GGUGCCUGCUGACACUCUCGCCCUCUCUGACCCAGGCUGGAAGAUGUCAGGAGGGGCCCUGGCCGGAGCGAGGGGAGGCUGCAGAGCUGUGUUAUCUUGGAUAAAUUACUUAGCCUCUCUGAGCCUCCCUGUUCUCAGCUGGAAAGUGGAGAUAAAAAUCACUUGUAGGCUGUUGUGAGAAGAAUGAGAUGACGCCCGCAAAGCACAGCGACACAGCGUCAGAGCUCCGCGCAGGAUCAGGGAGCAUAAUGUACCCAACACACGCCUGCCAUGUGGCUGUGGAGCCCUGGGUACAGCAGGCAGAGAGAUGGAGACGGCCACCCUGGUAAUACUGAGAACUCCCUGCUAAGAACUUCCCUGCACCCAGUGUUGAGUGGAAUACUCAGAACCUGCCAGAGCUGCAUCCGGGCACCUGCCUUGGCACCAGUGAGAAGGAACCAAGCCUGAGCUCAUCAGUGGCCAAAUCUUGUCCUGAAAAAUCAAUACAGCUUUCCCUGUUACGCAAUAAGCGAGUUCCUGAAAAGUUGGAGGUAAAUUAAUUUCUUCCCCAGUUCAACACAUAAUGAGCAUCAGUGUCAGCUUAACAUGUGGGACACACACGCGUGUGCAUAUGCAUGCACACACAUGCCGUCAGCUAUGAUUCUGGCUUCCAGAGACACAUUUAAAUGCACCAAAGGAGCUUGCUGAUGGCAUCUCUUGGUGGAAC